UGAAUAAUAGAGAUUGCUACCUUCUUAACAUCCUACAUGUGUACUUCACACUACUCUCAUAAUUACAUCUAGAACCAUCUCUUACAAUUCUAAUCACUCUAAACUUUAUUCAAGUGAUCUGUUGUUACACACAUCUACAAUAAAGCAUGCAACAUUAGUUAAAACAUGCAAAAUGAUCUUGACACAUGCAAGAUUUCUUGAAAACCAAUCUGAAUCCUCUACUGCCUCUGAUGAUCAUAAUGUGUGUUUGCAACAGUUGAACAAUCAAAUUUGUGAAUGAGAGCAGCAAUUAGCUAUUCUGCAUGCACAACAACAACUCAAUAAGUUGAAAGCACAGAUUCAUGAAGAUACUCUCAUUGAGUCUCAAUUAACUCAGAAUAUCACCACAGAAUCACUGCAAAAUUGAUCUGUGAAUGAUACAGAUGAUGAUAAUGAAACAUCACUGAGAUUAGAGAUUAAGAACUAUUAUCAAGAAAAAAAUAUAUUAGAAUUCAAGAACUAUAAAGAUCACAUAUUGACUCUAUUUACACAUUACUAUUGAUAUUAUUGAAAGAAAGAAUAUAAGAUAAAUGAUACUAAACUCUAUCUUGACACUCACAUUAAGCAGAAAUGAUUGAAUUUUGUAUCAUUGUAUGAGAGAUGUGAAGGAGCAACACUGUUGACUUUUGAUGAUAUACUAUCAUAUCUAGAAAUGCAAAUUAAUAAUCCACAGAAUCAGUACUGAUUGAUGAGUCAAAAAUUUCAAAAUAUAAAGCAAUAAGAAUGAUAGUUGAUAUGCAAUUUCUCUAAAUAUCUUGAAGACUGAGAAUACUACUUACCCUCAUAUAGCAAAGAACAAAGAAUGAAUAACUUGUGUAGUAAAAUAUUGAAGAUACUAUACACUGAACUCAAUCAUUGAAAUCAAGAGUCUCAGAACUAUGAAGAGUUGCUUCAAACUCUACAGACUUUUGAGAAAAAUAUAUUAAAGUGACAGCAUGCUAUUUGCAAAAAAAGAUCUGUGAUAUUUAUAGAGAAUCAGUGUUGUUCUGAUAAAUCUAGCAAUUGUUGAAACAAGAGAAAACAAGAGAAACAAACAGAUUCAACUGAAUAAAUCAAAAAAGAUAAAUAUAACUGAAUAAAGAAGUGUUCUCACUGUCAUAAAAAGAAUUAUAUUGCAAAUAGUUGUUGAAUAUUAUAUUCUGAAAAGCACAAUCAAAUUCAAUAAGCAAAAAAUCAACAAUCUCAAUUGUAGAAGCAGCUGCUGCAUUGAGAAUAUGAACAACUAGACUAUAAGAUAAAUAGUUAUUGACAAUGAAUAUAUGAAUACUGACAGAAGUGAGAUGAUCAAUGAUGUGAAUGUUAGUGAAUUCUGAUACAGAUGUGAACUUUGUAUCCCACAUCUGAGCAUUAAAAUAUUUCUCAAAGACAGAAGAUAAAUCAAAAGUAGUAGAAGCAGUUGAUAAUCAUAAGAUUAAGUUGUAUAAACAACAAAGAGCUGCAAUGAAAAUUAUCAAUGAUGAAUAUAUUCUUCAAGAAGAAUUCCACCAUUUCAAAAAGGC
This 1538-nucleotide small RNA is filed under the name Histoplasma ohiense. Its description in RNAcentral is "hypothetical lncRNA". The record is from RNAcentral. Lineage: Eukaryota; Fungi; Ascomycota; Eurotiomycetes; Onygenales; Ajellomycetaceae.